This is a non-coding RNA of Penaeus vannamei (Pacific white shrimp), 237 nucleotides long. The record is from RefSeq and is a predicted model, not a curated record. Lineage: Eukaryota; Metazoa; Arthropoda; Malacostraca; Decapoda; Penaeidae.
GGGAAAUGCAGUUAGAGUCGUCUAGCAGUACCUCCAGAAUGAAGUGGAUAGUCGUGGCACUUGUGGUAUGCGUGGCAACUACAUCAAUGGGGCGUGAGGAGGAAGAUGGGCGCCUCGUGGCCCGCUUCUCCACCCGCACCCUCGUCUCCGUCAUCACCACCACCGCCACCGUCCCCCAGCAUUGCAUCCUCGGCGUGGCUACCCCAACAUGCACCAACAGGCGACGCCGUCGUGACC